Molecule: ribosomal RNA, 323 nt
Filed under: uncultured eukaryote
Lineage: Eukaryota
Description: partial 18S ribosomal RNA
Rfam family: Eukaryotic small subunit ribosomal RNA
Source: RNAcentral
CCCUUAGAUGUUCUGGGCGGCCCGCGCACUACAUUGGCACUAGCAAAGAGAUCCUAGAUUGAAUUCUUUGGGGUAUUCUUCUAAAUGGUGUCGUGACUGGGAUAAAUCCUUGUAAUUAUUGGUUUUGAACGAGGAAUUCCUAGUAAACGCAGAUCAUCAAUCUGCAUUGAUUACGUCCCUGCCCUUUGUACACACCGCCCGUCGCACCUACCGAUUGGAUGGUCCGGUGAAGCCUCGGGAUUGUGGUUCUUGCCGCUUUAUUGUGGCGUGACCGCGAGAACUUGUCUAAACCUUAUCAUCUAGAGGAAGGUGAAGUCGUAACA